RNAcentral lists this ribosomal RNA (443 nucleotides) under Anelosimus rupununi. RNAcentral describes it as "partial 16S ribosomal RNA". The record is from RNAcentral. Lineage: Eukaryota; Metazoa; Arthropoda; Arachnida; Araneae; Theridiidae.
UUCUUAUUAAAUUUUAUAAUAAGUAUAACCUGCUCAAUGAAUAUUAAAUAGCCGCAAAAUUUCAUGUGCUAAGGUAGCAUAAUCAUUUGUUUUUUAAUUAAAAACUAGAAUGAAAGGUUAAACAUUUAAAUUUUUUUAUUUAUAUUAUUACAUAAAAUUAUAUUAAAUAUAAAAAUAUAUUUAUAGAAUAAAAAGACGACAAGACCCUAUUGAACUUUACUUAUGUUAAACUGGGGUAGUUUUAUAAAUAAAAUUUUAUUUUAUUUUUAAUAAAUGAUCCAAUAAAAUUGAUUUUAUAAACAAGUUACCAUAGGGAUAACAGCGUAAUAAAUAUUAAAAGCUCUUAUUUAAAUAUUUGAUUGCGACCUCGAUGUUGAAUUAUAUUUUCUUAUUUUAGUGCAAAAACAUAUAAAGUAGGUCUGUUCGACCUUUAAAAUAUUACA